This 401-nucleotide ribosomal RNA is filed under the name uncultured bacterium. Its description in RNAcentral is "bacterial SSU rRNA". It matches the Rfam family "Bacterial small subunit ribosomal RNA", at positions 355 to 768 of the family's 1533-position model. The record is from RNAcentral.
UGGGGAAUAUUGCACAAUGGGCGCAAGCCUGAUGCAGCAACGCCCCGUGAGGGACGACGGCCUUCGGGUUGUAAACCUCUUUUGGCAGGGAAGAAGCGAAAGUGACGGUACCUGCAGAAAAAGCACCGGCUAACUACGUGCCAGCAGCCGCGGUGAUACGUAGGGUGCAAGCGUUGUCCGGAAUUAUUGGGCGUAAAGAGCUCGUAGGCGGUUUGUCGCGUCUGCUGUGAAAACCCGAGGCUCAACCUCGGGCCUGCAGUGGGUACGGGCAAACUAGAGUGUGGUAGGGGAGAUUGGAAUUCCUGGUGUAGCGGUGGAAUGAGCAGAUAUCAGGAGGAACACCGAUGGCGAAGGCAGAUCUCUGGGCCGUAACUGACGCUGAGAAGCGAAAGCAUGGGGAG